Molecule: ribosomal RNA, 253 nt
Filed under: uncultured bacterium
Lineage: Bacteria
Description: partial 16S ribosomal RNA
Rfam family: Bacterial small subunit ribosomal RNA
Source: RNAcentral
UCCAGAGGGUGCGAUCGUUAAUCGGAAUUACUGGGCGUAAAGCGCGCGUAGGCGGCUUGGUAUGUCGGGUGUGAAAUCCCCGGGCUCAACCUGGGAACUGCAUCCGAAACUGCCUUGCUAGAGUAUGGGAGAGGGAAGUGGAAUUUCCGGUGUAGCAGUGAAAUGCGUAGAUAUCGGAAGGAACACCAGUGGCGAAGGCGACUUCCUGGACCAAUACUGACGCUCAAGUGCGAAAGCGUGGGGAGAAAACAGG